GACCGCUUACUUUGCUUACUCGUUUUCUAUUCCUCGCGUACUGCCUCGUCCACCACUCCAGGACCAAAAGAGGAAGAUAGUCUUGGGACCCUUGCAUGGUGUUUCAAAGGGUGGUGAAGAACUAAGGAAACCGUCUUUAAGGUUUUCUCCGUAAAGAAAGUACCAGUAUACUCUUUCAUGGUCAAGUACAGAUUGUGGAACUGAUAACUUUUAAGAUAUCUUCUUGAAGCCCUGCAUCCUCCCAUUCUAAUUUGAACUGUUAGCUUCCCAUCACUGUCAUCUCGGGUAGAAGAAUACAUGUUCACUUCCAGUGAACAAGAGCAUGUUCCCAAACUCAAUUUUGGGUCGCCCACCCUUCACUCCAAAUCAUCAACAACAUAAUAACUUCUUUACCCUGUCACCUACUGUUUAUUCACACCAGCAGCUUAUAGAUGCACAAUUCAACUUUCAGAAUGCAGACUUGUCUAGAGCUGUGUCAUUACAGCAGCUGACAUAUGGAAAUGUCAGUCCAAUACAGACCUCAGCUUCCCCAUUAUUUCGAGGAAGGAAGAGAUUAAGCGAUGAAAAAAACCUUCCUCUUGACGGUAAACGGCAACGUUUCCAUUCACCCCACCAAGAGCCAACUGUAGUUAACCAGAUAGUGCCUUUAUCAGGUGAACGAAGAUACUCAAUGCCACCAUUGUUUCAUACACAUUAUGUACCAGAUAUAGUCAGAUGUGUUCCACCUUUUCGAGAAAUUGCAUUUUUAGAACCUAGAGAAAUCACACUGCCUGAGGCCAAAGAUAAGUUGAGUCAGCAGAUACUGGAGUUAUUUGAAACAUGUCAGCAGCA
Molecule: long non-coding RNA, 831 nt
Filed under: Homo sapiens (human)
Lineage: Eukaryota; Metazoa; Chordata; Mammalia; Primates; Hominidae
Description: long non-coding RNA NONHSAT202796.1
Source: RNAcentral